UACGUAGGGGGCAAGCGUUGUCCGGAAUCAUUGGGCGUAAAGAGCGUGUAGGCGGCCCGAUAAGUCCGCUGUGAAAGUCCAGGGCUCAACCCUGGGAUGCCGGUGGAUACUGUCGGGCUCGAGUCCGGAAGAGGAGUGUGAAUUCCUGGUGUAGCGGUGAAAUGCGCAGAUAUCAGGAGGAACACCAAUGGCGAAGGCAGCACUCUGGGACGUGACUGACGCUGAGACGCGAAAGCGUGGGGAGCAAACAGG
This 252-nucleotide ribosomal RNA is filed under the name uncultured bacterium. RNAcentral's name for it is "partial 16S ribosomal RNA". It matches the Rfam family "Bacterial small subunit ribosomal RNA", at positions 524 to 776 of the family's 1533-position model. The record is from RNAcentral.